RNAcentral lists this ribosomal RNA (669 nucleotides) under uncultured fungus. Its description in RNAcentral is "eukaryotic LSU rRNA". It matches the Rfam family "Eukaryotic large subunit ribosomal RNA", at positions 24 to 664 of the family's 3401-position model. The record is from RNAcentral. Lineage: Eukaryota; Fungi.
CCCGCUGAACUUAAGCAUAUCAAUAAGCGGAGGAAAAGAAACUAACAAGGAUUCCCCUAGUAACUGCGAGUGAAGCGGGAGAAGCUCAAAUUUAAAAUCUGGUGGCCUUUGGCCAUCCGAGUUGUAAUUUAGAGAAGCGUCUUCCGCGCUGGACCGUGCACAAGUCUCCUGGAAUGGAGCGUCGUAGAGGGUGAGAAUCCCGUCUUUGGCACGGACGCCCAGUGCUUCUGUGAUGCGCUCUCGAAGAGUCGAGUUGUUUGGGAAUGCAGCUCAAAAUGGGUGGUGAACUCCAUCUAAAGCUAAAUAUUGGCGAGAGACCGAUAGCGAACAAGUACCGUGAGGGAAAGAUGAAAAGCACUUUGGAAAGAGAGUGAAACAGUACGUGAAAUUGUUGAAAGGGAAACGCUUGAAGUCAGUCGCGUCGUCCGAGACUCAGCCUCGCCUCGGCUUGGUGUACUUCUCGGAUGACGGGUCAGCAUCAAUUUUGCCCCUUGGAUAAUGGCGAGGGAAAUGUGACACCUUUGCGGGUGUGUUAUAGUCUCUAGUCGCAUGCAAGGGUCGGGAUUGAGGAACUCAGCACGCGCCUCAUCGGUGUCGGGGCCUUUUGGCCUACGUUACGUGCUUAGGAUGCUGGCAUAAUGGCUUUAAACGACCCGUCUUGAAACACGG